This is a long non-coding RNA of Morone saxatilis (striped sea-bass), 388 nucleotides long. RefSeq lists it as uncharacterized. The record is from RefSeq and is a predicted model, not a curated record. The transcript has 3 exons. Lineage: Eukaryota; Metazoa; Chordata; Actinopteri; Moronidae.
GCUGAGAGAGCGGGGGGGGGUUAACUCAGUGGCCGGACAUCGCUGCUGUUUACUGCGGGGUUCACAGCAACGGAGCUCCGCGAGAAAAGCUCUGGAGAGGAGAGGAGGGUACGGGAGGAAGGAGCUGCAGCACCUGAUUGACGAGGACUGGAACCUUCUUUGGGAGAGAGGCUGCUCUGAUAUUUUUUGUCCCACGUAUUUGGCAGAGUGUGAGCUCCAGAUUGCAGCACAGCUCGUGGGCCUGGCUGGGAGGCUGAGGUACCUGUGAAGAUUGAGACUCAUGUUGUACAGGGCCAACCAGGACUCUUGGAGGCGCUUUAUAUCUCGCCGAAUGUGGACCUGUCCCUCUUCUGAAGUCUUCUCCAAAACCCCUUGACCCUGGACCUCC